Triticum dicoccoides is the source of this 1247-nucleotide long non-coding RNA. RefSeq lists it as uncharacterized. The record is from RefSeq and is a predicted model, not a curated record. The transcript has 5 exons. Lineage: Eukaryota; Viridiplantae; Streptophyta; Magnoliopsida; Poales; Poaceae.
CUCGCUUUCUUCCAUGAUAGCUCGCUCGCCUCAACCCUUUCCCCUCUCUCUUGCAGGUCCUUGGUAGCCUUAACCGCACCAGCGGUGGAGCCGGCGAGCCGGCGACUCUCUGUCAUGUCGCCACUGUCACGUCUAUAACAGUGCGGAAGGCAGUGUCGGGUCGGCAAGGCAAGAACUCAGCCGCGCCAGGAGUAUACCUCAGCCACGCUUUUCCAGGGACGCAAAGGGUGAAGAUAAGUUUUUCUUUUCUUUCUUGAUUCUUAAUUUCUGAUUUGAUGUUGCUAUUUGGGGUUACCGUCAAGUAUCCCUGUAGUGAGUCAUGUUCAAAGAAAUCCUCACAUUCAUUGGAACUGGUGAUUAGAGAUCGAAAGAACCCGUACGUGCCAAUCAUGACCAUCAGUCAAUGUCACAUCGCAAUUAUCAUGUAGCCCAAAGGAGAGCCACAUAAUUGACCAUGAGGCCUGUACUACCAUCCUGUCGAACGCAACACACAAGUGUAAAAUGCAAGAGACGAACCCUAAAAUAAUGGACGUUCGUGACCCUCUGUUUCGAUUGUGCUGCCUGACCAUGGCCUCGGAUUGCAUCAGCGGCUGUGCUAGGUUUGCACGGAUGAGGCGUACAGUGUGUCCGUGGUCUGUUCGGUAGCACGGACAAGAGCGGCGCGGUCGGAUGGGGCAAGGACGCGAGCGGCACGGCCAGUUGGGGUGUGGCGGCCAACAACCAUGAAGUUCAAUCGCGAACGAUGAUUGAUUGAGAGGUUAAUCGGCCAUUAAUGCCAAUCGAUGCUCCGGGCAGCCUAUAAAAUCCCAACCUUGCCCCUACUGUGCUCAUUUUCGCAAACCAAUCUCCAGUACAAAUGUGAUGGGUGAUGCUCAGGUUCCAACUCUGUUUGGUUUCAAGGUGAUGUGCUGGUUCCAAUUCUUAGUUGUUGUCUUUCAUAAUUUUAAAUGAUUAGAACUUCUCUCCAAGUAGGAAUUUUCGCUACGUUCUGGUUGGUUUCUUUGGUUCUUCCAGCUGAUCUAAUGGCUAACGGAGAGCAGGUUAUUUAGAAAGUGAAAAAUGCGGAAAAGAAGCCACGAUUAAUGCCAGUCGAUGCUCCGAGCAGGCCAGUUACAAUGGCAAUUCAGGUUUUCCAUUCAAUUCAUGCGAGCCCAUAUAAUACCAACCUUGCCGCUACUCCUUUCCCACACUGCUCACUUUGGCAAACCAUUCUCCAGCACAUCAGCGAUGGAUGGAUGAUGCUUAAG